Physcomitrium patens is the source of this 1013-nucleotide non-coding RNA. The record is from RefSeq and is a predicted model, not a curated record. NCBI's taxonomy places the organism in Eukaryota, Viridiplantae, Streptophyta, Bryopsida, Funariales, Funariaceae.
UACGAAUGGAGAGAAUAUGCUUUUUAGCAAUGUGUCUAGAUUGUGGUUUUCUACAACUCUAUUAGCAUUGUCCUUUCUUUCGAGUGUUUGUGAUGACGAUCUGACGUUAUCCUCGAGGUCGUGAGCGAGAUAGUCCUCUGCGGCGUUUCCCAGUGGGGUUUCUUGAUCGAGAGAUAUGCAGCCAAUUGUCGGUGUGGGAGUCGUUCUUGUUACGACUCUGGUUGGUGUUUUUACUUUUACGUCAAAUUGUUGAUCGUUUAGGAGCAGCAGUUGGGGACAGACUUCUGCGAUCCAUUGAUGAACGUCGACCUUCAUCAGUGAAUCUGCGCCCCUUUUGUGAUUCUGAAUCAAAUCUUCUUCCUCCUGUUCCUGAUUAUAUUGUGGAGCAAUUUCUCUGGCCGAAGUUGAAUUCUCCCGCUUCUCCGUCUCUGUUGUGGCGAUUUCGGAGGAUUAACAGAUUUUGGUAGUCAUUCGUCGCUGGAACUAUCGAAUGUCAGGCUCUUGAGAUGGUGCGGGUUGAUCGUCAUGGGUAUCUGAAAGCUGUCGCUGAUGCUGAUGCUAAAAGGGAGUCACUUACUGCUAGACUAGGGUUUGAGAUAGAACAUCUAGGUACUCUGAUUGCUGAAGAUCUGUCUAAACUGGAUUAUUGCAAUUCGCUAGGUAGUCCUAACGAGGUAGUUUAUUCUGUGUCUUAUGGUUCUCUCGAAGAGGAUCACUUAUCUUUGAUUUUUCUUUCAGCAAUGUCAAUCGAUCUUAGGAUUCCUAUGCCAUCACGAUCCUUGAGGAACUUUAUGCGCCCCAGAGCUUUAGUUAGCAAGUCUGCUAGCUGAUCAUGUGACUUAAGAUAGACUAGAUUUACCACUCCAGUUAGUACAUUCUCACGGAUGAAGUGUUGCCAAACCUCCACAUGUUUUGAUCGAGCAUGACUUACUGGAUCUUUAGCAGAUUUUAAUGAACUUUGAUUGUCACAGUAUAAUAUAAUGGUUUUGGGCUCCUUGCCUGUAAUUCGAUGA